CGAAGGGCCGACGGGGGCGGGGAAAGGACCAGCGGGCGGGGCAACGGUCUGACUGGGGCGUGGCGAGGAGAGGGUGGGCGUGGGGGUUGGUGCGGGUUGGCGAAGGGUGGAGGCAUGUCAGGCCCCGGCCACGCCCCUGCCGGUUUGGGCGGGAGCCGCCCCGGGACCAACUGCCCUCGUUGCUCACACCAAGGAGGCCUUGGCUAGCUCAGCCGGACCCCAAAGCCUGGACCGGGUCUCCACCUCCCCCCCACCCCCGUGCCCACGCCCUCCAUGCCGGCCUCGCCCGGGAGCAGAUCACUGCUGCCUCGCCCCCGCGGCCCACUCGCCCAGCGGGGCGCCUUAUCCGAGAGCCCUCCGGGCCUCAGCUUUAUCACCCGGCACCACCCGGCGUGGUUCUAACCCCGCGCCUUUGCGCUGCGCUGCACACCAGCUUUUUUUUUCUAAGACAGGAUCUCCCUGAGUUGCUCAGCUGCCCAGCCUGGGCUCGAACCUGCAGUCCAGCGCGGAGGCCUGGCCAACCCCUGACUUCCCGUGGCUGGGCCCAGGGUGUCAGCAGAGUCAGCUUCCAGGGAAUCCGACCUCUGGUCUCCCGCCCGAGUCCAGGGCCUUCCUGAGACUCCAGUCUUCGUGCCGAUGUCCCCAGGGCUGUGGUAAGGACUGAACCCCUUGGUGGCAGCUUCUGGAUCGUGUGGCUGCCCCUGCUGCCAUCCAAGGCCCCUCUCCCCCUCCACCCCAGUGUCCUCGCUUUUUUAUUUAUUUAUUUUUAUUUUUAUUUUUUUUUUUUCAUCCUCACUUUCUCUCUGCUCCUGAGACAGCCCCAGCUUUCUCUUGCCCCAGGGCCUUUGCACUUGCUGUUCUCACUUCUAAAAUACUCUCACCCUAGGUCCCACUGUGGCUGACUCCUUCUCUCCCGGGUCUCAGCCCAAAGCCCACUCCUCAGAAAAAUCCUUCAGUGUUUAGUCUGCUGUACACUUGAGCUCCAGCCCUCUCGAUGGCAAGUCACCCACUCUGUCUGCAGGUUCCUGGAGGGAGACGCUGGUCUCUCCUCUCUCACAACCAGGCGGGUACUCGGUGAAUGCUUGAAGUCAUCAGUUAGCGAAUUCAUGCAUUAGGCAUCAGGUAGCAACUCCUGAAUUAAUACACAUUUAUUGAUUCCUUGCACUAGGGAUUGCUGUGGUCCUAGUGAUGUUGGCAGUCCUUGGAAAGGGGGAGUCACUUUGCUGAGGCCUUGGCCGGCCUGGGCCUGACGCCACCCCCUCCUUUGGCCCCAGCUUGCCCUGGCCAUCUUACCCGGGCCACUUGUCCUCAAGGUCCAGAUGUGCGUGGUGUUGACCUCAGAGAGCCCAAGGCCGGGCCCAGGGCCACAGUGCCAAUGCCACGUGGGUGCCUGACAAGCGCGAGGGCAGAGAUGAAAGGGGGUUGGACGCACGUGGCCAGCCUCGGGACCUUGGUGGGGACAGCGGCCGAGGGAGGGAGAUACGGGUGCCGUCACCCAGAGAAGUCUUGAGAGGCGGCCACAGGAGAAGGGACAGAGUGACCACACUAGGGGUCGAGGGUCCUGCGAAAACCAGCUCGGAGGAUGGCUGCUCGGGAGGCUGAGGCAGGAGGAUUGCAAGUUUGAAGUCAGCCUGGACAACUUAGUGAGAUCCUGUGUCAAAAUAAAAUAAAAUAAAAAAUUAAAUUAAAUUAAAUUAAAAAGCUGGGAUGUAGCUCAGCAGUAGAGCACUGGAGCAGCAUACUCAAGGCCCUGGAUACCAUCCCCAGGACUGAAAAAAUAAUAAUAGUAAUGGCAAGGUGUGGUAGUGCACACCUGUAAUCUCAGCACUCCGGGAAGCUGAGGCAGGAGGGUUGCAAGUUCAAGCCCAGCCUGGGCAAAUUAGCAAGAAUUUAUCUGAAAAUAAAAAAUAAAAAAGGGCUGGGGAUGUAGCUUAAUAAAAGGGCCUGGGUUCUAUCUCCAAAGAAAAAACUGUGUAUACAAAUACUUACAGCACAUGCUCAUCAAAUUGCCCCCAGAUUGUCUCUGCACAAAACCCACUUGGCUCCCGGCUGGGGGUAGACGCGGAACACAGCCCAUCCACGCGGCCCCAUGGUGCACAGCGGCUGUGUCUCGGGCCAGCGAGGGAGGCGGACGUGGGCCUGGUGGACAUCGCUGGUGUCACAGUCUCCCAUUUCCUAGGAAACCUCUGACCUGCUCCUGCUCUGCCCCGGGGCCUUUGUACCCCCCCCCCCCCACCCCGCGCCCCAUCCCCCCCACCCUUGUCCCCAGCAGGCGUGGGGCCGGACUUUCCGCCCCUGCCCUGUCGCUGUCUGCCUUUCUCAGGGCCGGGAUGCCGGGCACCGAGCCCAGGGCCUUGUGCGCCCCAGGCAGUCACCCUGCGUGGAGCCCCCAGAGCCGCCCCCGGUCCUUUCUGUUUUAUUUUGAGACAGCGGCUUGCUACACUAUGGCCGCUGGGCCCCAGGCAGAGCAGGGUGGGGAAGGACGAGGAAGAGGAGGAAGGCGCGCGGCCGACCGCCAGCCGAGGGCGCCAGAGGGUGGGAGGGGGCGCGCACCUGCUGCUGCUGCUGCUGCUGCUGCUGUGCGGGCGGCGAGCGGGAGCCGCGCUGCCCAGGGCGCCCACGUCCACGGCCGAGCAAGGACAGUGAGGGAGAAGCACGCUCGCCACCCGAGUCCCGCGAGAGCCGCGUGCGGCAGGGCCCGGGCGCACCAGACGCCCGGGGCUCCUACACCGCAAAGACCUGGAUGGAAGGAAGACCGGCAAACACUCUCCGUCUCCUACACCCACCCAUGUUGGGAUGGCAGCAUUUGGUCCUGUGCGGUUUUUAAAAGACUUACAAUUCAUUUCAC
RNAcentral lists this long non-coding RNA (2848 nucleotides) under Heterocephalus glaber (naked mole-rat). RNAcentral's name for it is "lncRNA (ENSHGLG00100042802.1)". The record is from RNAcentral. Lineage: Eukaryota; Metazoa; Chordata; Mammalia; Rodentia; Bathyergidae.